RNAcentral lists this ribosomal RNA (271 nucleotides) under uncultured eukaryote. RNAcentral's name for it is "partial 18S ribosomal RNA". The stretch from base 37 to 271 matches the Rfam family "Eukaryotic small subunit ribosomal RNA", at positions 1186 to 1456 of the family's 1831-position model. The record is from RNAcentral.
GGAAAACUUACCAGGUCCGGACAUAGUGAGGAUUGACGGCUUAAUUUGACUCAACGCGGGAAAUCUCAUCAGGCCCGGACACUGGAAGGAUUGACAGAUUGAUACCUCUUUCUUGAUUCUGUGGGUGGUGGUGCAUGGCCGUUCUUAGUUGGUGGAGUGAUUUGUCUGGUUAAUUCCGAUAACGAACGAGACUCUGUCCUGCUAAAUAGAGUCUGCUUCUCUUUUGAGCAGACAAUUCUUCUUAGAGGGACAGGCGACUCUUGAGCAAUAA